UUAUACUUGUCGGAGUGCCUUUAAUAAGGCUGAGAUCGCGAAAGCGGGAUCCGUGAACCUGAUCAGGCUAACACCUGCGUAGGGAACAAGCUGCCUCAUAGG
This 102-nucleotide non-coding RNA is filed under the name Pseudoalteromonas lipolytica. RNAcentral describes it as "TPP sequence". It matches the Rfam family "TPP riboswitch aptamer (THI element)". From Rfam's summary of the family: Vitamin B(1) in its active form thiamin pyrophosphate (TPP) is an essential coenzyme that is synthesised by coupling of pyrimidine and thiazole moieties in bacteria. The previously detected thiamin-regulatory element, thi box was extended, resulting in a new, highly conserved RNA secondary structure, the THI element, which is widely distributed in eubacteria and also occurs in some archaea. Lineage: Bacteria; Pseudomonadati; Pseudomonadota; Gammaproteobacteria; Alteromonadales; Pseudoalteromonadaceae. The record is from RNAcentral.